Molecule: ribosomal RNA, 495 nt
Filed under: uncultured bacterium
Lineage: Bacteria
Description: partial 16S ribosomal RNA
Rfam family: Bacterial small subunit ribosomal RNA
Source: RNAcentral
GAUGAACGCUGGCGGCGUGCCUAAUACAUGCAAGUAGAACGCUGAAGGAGGAGCUUGCUCUUCUGGAUGAGUUGCGAACGGGUGAGUAACGCGUAGGUAACCUGCCUGGUAGCGGGGGAUAACUAUUGGAAACGAUAGCUAAUACCGCAUGACAACAGUUAUUGCAUGAUAACUGUUUAAAAGGGGCAACUGCUCCACUACCAGAUGGACCUGCGUUGUAUUAGCUAGUUGGUGAGGUAACGGCUCACCAAGGCGACGAUACAUAGCCGACCUGAGAGGGUGAGCGGCCACACUGGGACUGAGACACGGCCCAGAGUCCUACAGGAGGCAGCAGGAGGGAAACGUCGGCAAGGGACGGAAGACUGACCGAGCAACGCCGCGUGAGUGAAGAAGGUUGUCGGAUCGUAAAGCUCUGUUGUAAGGGAAGAACGAGUGUGAGAGUGGAAAGUUCACACUGUGACGGUAUCUUACCAGAAAGGGACGGCUAACUACGUG